This 468-nucleotide ribosomal RNA is filed under the name uncultured bacterium. Its description in RNAcentral is "partial 16S ribosomal RNA". It matches the Rfam family "Bacterial small subunit ribosomal RNA", at positions 28 to 507 of the family's 1533-position model. The record is from RNAcentral.
GACGAACGCUGGCGGCGUGCUUAACACAUGCAAGUCGAACGGAAGGGCCCUGCUUUUGUGGGGUGCUCGAGUGGCGAACGGGUGAGUAACACGUGAGUAACCUGCCCUUGACUUUGGGAUAACUUCAGGAAACUGGGGCUAAUACCGGAUAGGAGCUCCUGCUGCAUGGUGGGGGUUGGAAAGUUUCGGCGGUUGGGGAUGGACUCGCGGCUUAUCAGCUUGUUGGUGGGGUAGUGGCUUACCAAGGCUUUGACGGGUAGCCGGCCUGAGAGGGUGACCGGCCACAUUGGGACUGAGAUACGGCCCAGACUCCUACGGGAGGCAGCAGUGGGGAAUAUUGCACGAUGGGCGGAAGCCUGAUGCAGCGACGCCGCGUGCGGGAUGACGGCCUUCGGGUUGUAAACCGCUUUCGCCUGUGACGAAGCGUGAGUGACGGUAAUGGGUAAAGAAGCACCGGCUAACUACGUG